GACGAACGCUGGCGGCGUGCUUAACACAUGCCAGUCGAACGGUGAAGCGCCUUCCUUUUUGGUGGGUGUGGAUGAGUGGCGAACGGGUGAGUAACACGUGAGUAACCUGCCCCCUUCUUCUGGAUAACCGCAUGAAAGUGUGGCUAAUACGGGAUAUUCUGGGUCUGUCGCAUGAUGGGUCUGGGAAAGAUAUUGUUUCGGUGGGGGAUGGGCUCGCGGCCUAUCAGCUUGUUGGUGGGGUGAUGGCCUACCAAGGCGGUGACGGGUAGCCGGCCUGAGAGGGUGGCCGGUCACACGGGGACUGAGACACGGCCCAGACUCCUACGGGAGGCAGAAGUGGGGAAUAUUGCACAAUGGGCGCAAGCCUGAUGCAGCGACGCCGCGUGAGGGAUGGAGGCCUUCGGGUUGUGACCCUCUUUCGCCAGUGAAGCAGGCCUGCCUCGUUUGUGGGUGGGUUGACGGUAGCUGGAUAAGAAGCGCCGGCUAACUACGUG
RNAcentral lists this ribosomal RNA (494 nucleotides) under uncultured bacterium. RNAcentral's name for it is "partial 16S ribosomal RNA". It matches the Rfam family "Bacterial small subunit ribosomal RNA", at positions 28 to 507 of the family's 1533-position model. The record is from RNAcentral.